UACAGAGGGUGCUAGCGUUAAUCGGAUUUACUGGGCGUAAAGCGUGUGUAGGCGGUUUGUUAAGUCGGGUGUGAAAUCCCUGGGCUCAACCUGGGAAUUGCAUUCGAUACUGGCAAGCUAGAGUACGGUAGAGGGCGGCGGAAUUCCGGGUGUAGCGGUGAAAUGCGUAGAUAUCCGGAGGAACACCAAUGGCGAAGGCAGCUCGCUGGGACGGUACUGACGCUGAGACGCGAAAGCGUGGGGAGCAAACAGG
Molecule: ribosomal RNA, 253 nt
Filed under: uncultured bacterium
Lineage: Bacteria
Description: partial 16S ribosomal RNA
Rfam family: Bacterial small subunit ribosomal RNA
Source: RNAcentral